GGGGGAACCCAAUAUCUUUUAUAGGAUAUUACUUUUCAGUGAAUACAUAGCUGAUUAGAGGUAGACGCAGAGAACUGAAACAUCUUAGUACCUGCAGGAAGAGAAAGAAAAUUCGAUUCCCUGAGUAGCGGCGAGCGAAACGGGAAGAGCCCAAACCAACAAGCUUGCUUGUUGGGGUUGUAGGACUCCAAUAUGGUAGUCUGUUAGUAUAGUUGAAGGAUUUGGAAAAUUCCGCUAAAGAGGGUGAAAGCCCCGUAGACGAAAUGCUGACAACACCUAGGAGGAUCCUGAGUACGGCGGAACACGAGAAAUUCCGUCGGAAUCCGCGGGGACCAUCCCGCAAGGCUAAAUACUCCCUAGUGACCGAUAGUGAACCAGUACCGUGAGGGAAAGGUGAAAAGCACCCCGGAAGGGGAGUGAAAUAGAUCCUGAAACCGUGUGCCUACAACAAGUCAAAGCUCGUUAAUGAGUGAUGGCGUGCCUUUUGUAGAAUGAACCGGCGAGUUACGAUUGCAUGCGAGGUUAAGUCGAAGAGACGGAGCC
This 543-nucleotide ribosomal RNA is filed under the name Staphylococcus haemolyticus. RNAcentral describes it as "bacterial LSU rRNA". It matches the Rfam family "Bacterial large subunit ribosomal RNA", at positions 120 to 667 of the family's 2925-position model. The record is from RNAcentral. Lineage: Bacteria; Bacillati; Bacillota; Bacilli; Caryophanales; Staphylococcaceae.